UUUUUAUGAGAGUUUGAUCCUGGCUCAGGACGAACGCUGGCGGCGUGCCUAAUACAUGCAAGUCGUACGCUUCUUUUUCCACCGGAGCUUGCUCCACCGGAAAAAGAGGAGUGGCGAACGGGUGAGUAACACGUGGGUAACCUGCCCAUCAGAAGGGGAUAACACUUGGAAACAGGUGCUAAUACCGUAUAACAAUCGAAACCGCAUGGUUUUGAUUUGAAAGGCGCUUUCGGGUGUCACUGAUGGAUGGACCCGCGGUGCAUUAGCUAGUUGGUGAGGUAACGGCUCACCAAGGCCACGAUGCAUAGCCGACCUGAGAGGGUGAUCGGCCACAUUGGGACUGAGACACGGCCCAAACUCCUACGGGAGGCAGCAGUAGGGAAUCUUCGGCAAUGGACGAAAGUCUGACCGAGCAACGCCGCGUGAGUGAAGAAGGUUUUCGGAUCGUAAAACUCUGUUGUUAGAGAAGAAUAAGGAUGAGAGUAACUGUUCAUCCCUUGACGGUAUCUAACCAGAAAGCCACGGCUAACUACGUGCCAGCAGCCGCGGUAAUACGUAGGUGGCAAGCGUUGUCCGGAUUUAUUGGGCGUAAAGCGAGCGCAGGCGGUUUCUUAAGUCUGAUGUGAAAGCCCCCGGCUCAACCGGGGAGGGUCAUUGGAAACUGGGAGACUUGAGUGCAGAAGAGGAGAGUGGAAUUCCAUGUGUAGCGGUGAAAUGCGUAGAUAUAUGGAGGAACACCAGUGGCGAAGGCGGCUCUCUGGUCUGUAACUGACGCUGAG
Molecule: ribosomal RNA, 779 nt
Filed under: Enterococcus faecium
Lineage: Bacteria; Bacillati; Bacillota; Bacilli; Lactobacillales; Enterococcaceae
Description: bacterial SSU rRNA
Rfam family: Bacterial small subunit ribosomal RNA
Source: RNAcentral